Molecule: ribosomal RNA, 414 nt
Filed under: uncultured microorganism
Description: bacterial SSU rRNA
Rfam family: Archaeal small subunit ribosomal RNA
Source: RNAcentral
CAGCAGCCGCGGUAAUACCGGCGGCCCGAGUGGCGGUCACUAUUAUUGGGCUUAAAGCGUCCGGAGCCGGGUUGGGAAGUCCUCCGGGAAAUCUGGCCGCUUAACGGUCAGAAUGCCGGAGGAUACUCCCAGCCUAGGGAGCGGGAGAGGCCCAGGGGAUUUCCGGAGGAGGGGUGAAAUCCUAUAAUCCCGGGCGGACCACCUGGGGCGAAGGCGCUCGGCUGGAACGCGUCCGACGGUGAGGGACGAAGGCCAGGGGAGCAAACCGGAUUAGAUACCCGGGUAGUCCUGGCGGUAAACGAUGCGGACUUUGUGUCGGACAAGCUAUGAGCUUGUCCGGUGCCGGAGGGAAACCGUUAAGUCCGCCGCCUGGGGAGUACGGCCGCAAGGCUGAAACUUAAAGGAAUUGGCGGG